This 497-nucleotide ribosomal RNA is filed under the name uncultured bacterium. RNAcentral's name for it is "partial 16S ribosomal RNA". It matches the Rfam family "Bacterial small subunit ribosomal RNA", at positions 28 to 507 of the family's 1533-position model. The record is from RNAcentral.
GAUGAACGCUGGCGGCGUGCCUAAUACAUGCAAGUCGAGCGAACGGACGAGAAGCUUGCUUCUCUGAUGUUAGCGGCGGACGGGUGAGUAACACGUGGAUAACCUACCUAUAAGACUGGGAUAACUUCGGGAAACCGUAGCUAAUACCGGAUAAUAUUUUGAACCGCAUGGUUCAAAAGUGAAAGACGGUCUUGCUGUCACUUAUAGAUGGAUCCGCGCUGCAUUAGCUAGUUGGUAAGGUAACGGCUUACCAAGGCAACGAUGCAUAGCCGACCUGAGAGGGUGAUCGGGCACACUGGAACUGAGACACGGGCCAGACUCCGACGGGAAGCAGCAAGAGGGAAUCUUCCGCAAUGGGCGGAAGCCUGACGGAACAACGCCGCGUGAGUGAUGAAGGGCUUCGGAUCGUAAAACUCUGUUAUUAGGGAAAAAAAUUUGUGUAAGUAACUGUGCACCACUUGACGGUACCUAAUCAGAAAGGCAAGGCUAACUACGUG